This 624-nucleotide ribosomal RNA is filed under the name Triticum aestivum (bread wheat). RNAcentral's name for it is "partial small subunit ribosomal RNA". Lineage: Eukaryota; Viridiplantae; Streptophyta; Magnoliopsida; Poales; Poaceae. The record is from RNAcentral.
AUGGUUGCCGAUGUCCACCGCACCUUGCUAUACGGCGGCAUAUUUUUGUACCCCGCGGACAAGAAGAGCCCAAACGGAAAGCUCCGUGUGAUGUAUGAGGUGUUCCCCAUGUCAUUCCUGAUGGAGGAAGCCGGAGGCCAGUCUUUCACAGGCAAAGGACGGUCUCUCGACCUGAUCCCCACCGACAUCCACGAGAGAUCCCCGAUAUUCCUCGGCAGCAGCGACAACGUGGAGGAGAUCAAGGCGCUGUACGCGGAGGAGGCCAAGAAGGCCGUCGCGCGCAAGGCGUCGGCCAUCUCGUUGCCGGCGAUCUCGUUGGACAGCGAGCGCGGCACCGUCGUGAAUCUCCAGCGCUCGCAGGAAAUAGCAGACAUUGAGUUAACUGGUAUCAUGGUAGACAUGGAGUUUGGAGAUCUGCUAAAAGACUGGAUAGAUGAUUGGUCAGAUGAUGAAAGUUCAGAGCGUACAGAUUGGUCAGAGAAUGGGAACGAAGGGGAAGAUCUUAAUAUAGACGAGGUUGAUGAUGGUCAGGAAAACAACUCCAAGGUCUCGAAUGAAGAUUACAUUCGUCAGGACUAUUACGGUGAAUCCGACGCGGAGACAAGCUUGAUGACGAAUCAUUAG